This 807-nucleotide ribosomal RNA is filed under the name uncultured bacterium. Its description in RNAcentral is "bacterial SSU rRNA". It matches the Rfam family "Bacterial small subunit ribosomal RNA", at positions 8 to 810 of the family's 1533-position model. The record is from RNAcentral.
AGAGUUUGAUCCUGGCUCAGGAUGAACGCUGGCGGCGUGCUUAACACAUGCAAGUCGAACGAAGAAGAGUUGAAUGAGGCUUCGGCGGAUUUCUUCUCAUCUUAGUGGCGGACGGGUGAGUAACGUGUGGGCAACCUGCCCUGUACUGUGGAAUAAUCACUGGAAACGGUGACUAAUACCGCAUGUCAUCACCGGAGGGCAUCCUCUGGUGAAAAAAGGAUUUAUUCGGUACAGGAUGGGCCCGCAUCUGAUUAGCUAGUUGGUGAGAUAACAGCCCACCAAGGCGACGAUCAGUAGCCGACCUGAGAGGGUGAUCGGCCACAUUGGGACUGAGACACGGCCCAAACUCCUACGGGAGGCAGCAGUGGGGAAUAUUGCACAAUGGGGGAAACCCUGAUGCAGCAACGCCGCGUGAAGGAAGAAGGUUUUCGGAUCGUAAACUUCUAUCAACAGGGAAGAAACAAAUGACGGUACCUGAAUAAGAAGCCCCGGCUAACUACGUGCCAGCAGCCGCGGUAAUACGUAGGGGGCAAGCGUUAUCCGGAAUUACUGGGUGUAAAGGGAGCGUAGGCGGCACGUCAAGCCAGAUGUGAAAGCCCGGGGCUUAACCCCGUGGAUUGCAUUUGGAACUGGCGAGCUAGAGUACAGGAGAGGAAAGCGGAAUUCCUAGUGUAGCGGUGAAAUGCGUAGAUAUUAGGAAGAACACCAGUGGCGAAGGCGGCUUUCUGGACUGAAACUGACGCUGAGGCUCGAAAGCGUGGGGAGCAAACAGGAUUAGAUACCCUGGUAGUCCACGCCGUAAACGAU